Long non-coding RNA from Marmota monax (woodchuck), 1215 nucleotides. RefSeq lists it as uncharacterized. The record is from RefSeq and is a predicted model, not a curated record. Lineage: Eukaryota; Metazoa; Chordata; Mammalia; Rodentia; Sciuridae. The transcript is spliced from 2 exons.
CUGAUCUACGUGUACAAGUAUAUUGCUUUCUCAAAAAGAUGAAAUAAUGAAAUACAAAGCCACUUUCUACUACAGAAGAGAUGACUACCUUCUUCUAGGAAUAGCUCUGUACAAAAUGGGACUGCUACGAUUGGCCUUGGUCCCACUAAGCAAAGCAGAAUCCUGAAGUUUUUUUUGGAGAAAAAUCAAAGAGGUAAAAGUACCAUCGAGCCAACAAAAUCAGGUACUUAUUUAGUUCACUCACAUAAGCCUACCCAGACUCAAAUGAGAUCAUGCUUUCUUGUCUUAGGAAGAAAUGACUCAGAAACAUACAUUGUAAUGGAAUUAAAAAUCGAGAUUUUACUUCAAUUGAUUGGAAAAAGGGCUGCAAACUAUGCCCAUCACUUGCUUAAUAUACUGUCAAAAUUUGUGGAUCAAAUUUUACUUGUUCUAAGGAAACUGUCAUAAUCUAUUUGCCCCCUACCCCAUAGUGCUGGGGAUGAACCUAGGGCCGUGCUUACUAUGCAAGCAUUUGAUUACUGAGCUACACCUCCCCUCCUCAAUUAUUUUUGUAAUGAUAGAAAUUGUAUCUUAUGGAAUGGGUGUUAAAUGGUAUUCCAUGAAGUUCAGAAGUACUUUUGCUACAUUAUUUGUUUUUAUAAAUUUAGAUAUAAUAUUUGUGUAUCUUUAUGGGGUAUAUUAUGGUAAUUUGAUACAUGUAUAUGGAAUAAUAAUCAAAUCAGAAUAGUAUGCAUUUUCAUCUUUUUAAACAUUGAUCACUUUUAUGUGUAGGGGAUUUUGUACUCUUCUAGACGUUUUGAAAUAUAUCAUAGAUUGUUUCAACCUAUAGUUACCCUACUGUAUUAAAGAAGAACCAGAAUUGAUUCCUCUGCUGUUUUGGUGCCUCUUAACUGAACUUCUGUUUCCCAUUCAACUCCUGACUUCUCAAUCUUCAGUGAUCACUAUUCCUUUCCUUUCUACAAGGCUGACUUGUCAGUUUCUGCAAAAGAGUGAGAACAUGUGGCAUUAGAGUUUGUGUCUGACUUAUUUCACUGGAUAUAAUGAUCUCCAGUUCUCUCUGAAUUGCUGCAGAUGAAAAGAUUUUAUUAUGGUCAAAUAAUAUUCCACUGUGUAUAUAUAUAUUUUUUCUUUAUCCAUUCAUUCACUGAAGGGCAUUUGGGCUGAUCCCACAUUUUAGCUGUUGUGAAUAGUACUGCAAUAAACAUGGAAAUGCAA